This 301-nucleotide ribosomal RNA is filed under the name uncultured bacterium. RNAcentral describes it as "partial 16S ribosomal RNA". It matches the Rfam family "Bacterial small subunit ribosomal RNA", at positions 509 to 808 of the family's 1533-position model. The record is from RNAcentral.
CAGUCGCCGCGGUAAUACGAAGGGUGCAAGCGUUACUCGGAAUUACUGGGCGUAAAGCGUGCGUAGGUGGUGGUUUAAGUCCGUUGUGAAAGCCCUGGGCUCAACCUGGGAAUGCAGUGGAUACUGGGUCACUAGAGUGUGGUAGAGGAUAGUGGAAUUUCCGGUGUAGCAGUGAAAUGCGUAGAGAUCGGAAGGAACAUCUGUGGCGAAGGCGACUAUCUGGGCCAACACUGACACUGAGGCACGAAAGCGUGGGGAGCAAACAGGAUUAGAGACCCCCGUAGUCCCUGUCUCUUAUACA